RNAcentral lists this ribosomal RNA (467 nucleotides) under uncultured bacterium. RNAcentral's name for it is "partial 16S ribosomal RNA". It matches the Rfam family "Bacterial small subunit ribosomal RNA", at positions 28 to 506 of the family's 1533-position model. The record is from RNAcentral.
GACGAACGCUGGCGGCGUGCUUAACACAUGCAAGUCGAACGGAAAGGCCCUGCUUUUGUGGGGUGCUCGAGUGGCGAACGGGUGAGUAACACGUGAGUAACCUGCCCUUGACUUUGGGAUAACUUCAGGAAACUGGGGCUAAUACCGGAUAGGAGCUCCUGCUGCAUGGUGGGGGUUGGAAAGUUUCGGCGGUUGGGGAUGGACUCGCGGCUUAUCAGCUUGUUGGUGGGGUAGUGGCUUACCAAGGCUUUGACGGGUAGCCGGCCUGAGAGGGUGACCGGCCACAUUGGGACUGAGAUACGGCCCAGACUCCUACGGGAGGCAGCAGUGGGGAAUAUUGCACAAUGGGAGGAAGCCUGAUGCAGCAACGCCGCGUGCGGGAUGACGGCCUUCGGGUUGUAAACCGCUUUCGCCUGUGACGAAGCGUGAGUGACGGUAAUGGGUAAAGAAGCACCGGCUAACUACGU